Molecule: ribosomal RNA, 551 nt
Filed under: uncultured bacterium
Lineage: Bacteria
Description: bacterial SSU rRNA
Rfam family: Bacterial small subunit ribosomal RNA
Source: RNAcentral
ACGGUACCUACAGAAUAAGUUCCGGCUAACUUCGUGCCAGCAGCCGCGGUAAUACGAAGGGAACUAGCGUUGUCCGGAUUUACUGGGCGUAAAGGGCGCGUAGGCGGUUACAUAAGUUAGAAGUGAAAGCCCCGGGCUUAACCUGGGAAUUGCUUUUAAUACUGUGUAACUAGAGUUCGGCAGAGGAUAGUAGAAUUUCCAGUGUAGAGGUGAAAUUCGUAGAUAUUGGAAGGAAUACCAGUGGCGAAGGCGGCUAUCUGGACCGAAACUGACGCUAAUGCGCGAAAGCGUGGGGAGCAAACAGGAUUAGAUACCCUGGUAGUCCACGCUGUAAACGAUGAGUGCUAGAUGUUGGAAUUUAUUUCAGUGUCGUAGCUAACGCAAUAAGCACUCCGCCUGGGGAGUACGAUCGCAAGAUUAAAACUCAAAGGAAUUGACGGGGGCCUGCACAAGCGGUGGAGCAUGUGGUUUAAUUCGACGCAACGCGAAGAACCUUACCAGCUCUUGACAUAGUGGUUAAGAUAUCUAGAGAUAGAUGUCGUCAGUUCGGC